CAAUAGCGUAUAUUAAAGUUGCUGCGUUUAAAAGCUCGUAGUUGGAUCUCGGUUCCAGGCCUGCGGUCCGCCUCGAGGCGGAUACUGCUCGUCCUGUGUUCGACGUCGUGGUGGUCCCUUGGUGCUCUUGACUGAGUGUCUCGGGCGGUCCCGAACGUUUACUUUGAAAAAUUAGAGUGCUCAAAGCAGGCGUAUCGCCUGAAUAAUUCCGCAUGGAAUAAUGGAAUAGGACCUCGGUUCCAGUUUCGUUGGUUUGCGAAUCCUUGAGGUAAUGAUUAAUAGGGACUGCCGGGGGCAUACGUAUUGCGGCGGGAGAGGUGAAAUUCGUGGAUCGCCGCAAGACGAACGACAGCGAAAGCAUUUGCCAAGAAUGUUCUCAUUAAUCAAGAACGAAAGUCAGAGGUUCGAAGAUGAUCAGAUACCAU
This 425-nucleotide ribosomal RNA is filed under the name uncultured eukaryote. Its description in RNAcentral is "SSU rRNA". It matches the Rfam family "Eukaryotic small subunit ribosomal RNA", at positions 592 to 1018 of the family's 1831-position model. The record is from RNAcentral.